RNAcentral lists this ribosomal RNA (618 nucleotides) under Trichophyton rubrum. RNAcentral describes it as "eukaryotic LSU rRNA". It matches the Rfam family "Eukaryotic large subunit ribosomal RNA", at positions 38 to 667 of the family's 3401-position model. Lineage: Eukaryota; Fungi; Ascomycota; Eurotiomycetes; Onygenales; Arthrodermataceae. The record is from RNAcentral.
GCAUAUCAAUAAGCGGAGGAAAAGAAACCAACAGGGAUUGCCCCAGUAACGGCGAGUGAAGCGGCAAGAGCUCAAAUUUGAAAUCUGGCCUCCCCCGGGGGUCCGAGUUGUAAUUUGCAGAGGAUGCUUCGGGCGCGGCCCCCGUCUAAGUUCCUUGGAACAGGACGUCAGAGAGGGUGAGAAUCCCGUCUUGGGCGGGCGGCCCGCGCCCGUGUGAAGCUCCUUCGACGAGUCGAGUUGUUUGGGAAUGCAGCUCUAAGCGGGUGGUAAAUUUCAUCUAAAGCUAAAUACCGGCCGGAGACCGAUAGCGCACAAGUAGAGUGAUCGAAAGGUUAAAAGCACCUUGAAAAGGGAGUUAAACAGCACGUGAAAUUGUUGAAAGGGAAGCGCUUGCGGCCAGACUCGGGGGGCGGGGUUCAGCGGGCGCUCGUCGCCCGUGCACUGCCCGCUCCCCGGGCCAGCAUCAGCUUCGACGGCCGGUCAAAGGCCCCCGGAAUGUGUCGUCUCUAGGGACGUCUUAUAGCCGGGGGUGCAAUGCGGCCCGUCGAGACUGAGGAACGCGCUCCGGCUCGGAUGCUGGCGUAAUGGCCGUAAGCGGCCCGUCUUGAAACACGGACC